This is a long non-coding RNA of Oncorhynchus tshawytscha (Chinook salmon), 724 nucleotides long. The record is from Ensembl. Lineage: Eukaryota; Metazoa; Chordata; Actinopteri; Salmoniformes; Salmonidae.
AAAUUAACCAUUUAUUUAGUUGUUGUUGAUUAAAUUCGACACUCUUUUAUUGACGUCCACACAAAAAACGACCAAAAACGCCACCUGCUGGAGGGAGACACGUUUUCCCCCCGACAUGGGUCUUCCUCUCCCUCUUCCUCUUCCGCUCUGAUCACACUUCGCGCCAAGGAGGAUUUUUUUUUUAUUUUUUAAAGGAGCUGCUGGUCUAAACUAGUCUCAUCACGAUCAAUAAGAAAAACUCAUUUAUUUUUGCUGUGGAUUAUGGACAUCAGGCGGUUCUUUGUAUCAAGCAAACCCGCAGCACAGAAACCAUCUCGGGAUGGAACCCUCAACACAGAGAAGGAACCCACGAAGAAGAAGAAAUCCAUCUCAACAGACGAAGAAGCGAAGAAGAAAAAACCUGCCACCAAGAUCACCAGCCCCAAGGUGGAGAAGAAGAAGAAGAAGGACAAUGAUAAAAAGAGAAAGAGGCGUGCUGUCAUUGAGUCAGACUCUGAGGAGGAGGUAGUGGAGCAGAAGCAGAAGGCCCAGAAACCAAACCCUCCUCUUCCUCCGGCUCCUCUUCCUCCUGCCAAGAAAGACCCGGUGCAGUACGUCUCUGAGACAGAUUCAGACAGCGAUAACUUCCUGUCUCUGAAGAAGUCCCAGGCUAAGCCCCAGGGUAAUGGAGUGACCAAACCAGGAAGGCCCGCACCGGGACCAAAGAGAGCCACGGGUCCCCCCC